CGUCUAAAAGGAAAAAACAAGAGCCGCAGUCGUCCGGCAAGAUUGUAUGCCCGGUCUGACGGCAUGCCCUCUCGACUGGGUCGUCGGAUGGGUUAGAAUGGACCUUGUGUCCGAUGUUCAUAGGUCCAGUUGGGGUAUUGGCUGCAGAAUGAUGGCUUUACUGUUCGGGGCGAUAAGCGGACUUGCCGGCUGAUGACUGGAAGGCGGGGUCGGCAUUGUCUUGCCCUAAGGAAGAGCGCAAAUGGAUUGGUGGAUGCUUCGAGGUGGUGUCGCGUGUUCGGAGAUCACCUACAGGUGAUGGCUGGACGUUGGCAUCGUCGAGAACCACUGGGUUUAGAUCGGAUCUGUUAGACCCGAUUUGGUUCAGAUCGGAUCUGUUAGACACUUAGACCCGAUUUGGUUUGGGCUAUAUGGCUUCGACCUGAGGGGCGGCGAGGCUAGAUGGCUCGACGACAGUCGCGGUGGCGCUGCUGCUAGUGGUGGGACGACAUGGGAGGCGCCAGUGGGAUGCAUGGUUUCUGAUUUCUGCACCCAAUUGCUUCGAUUUGGGCCUGUUGGAGGUCGGGUCUGGGCUUUGUCCCUUGGCCCAUUUAUCUUUUCUGUUUUGUCUUAUUUUUACUUAUUUUUAGUUAAACGUGGCUCUAUGCCGACAAUACGUCCCUACCACUUUUGGUUAGGGCGACGUGGGUUUUGUCCCGGUAUGCACACUUAGUGUGCCUUGUCUAGCCGAGCGAGGCGGCAAGCUAUUUGCUUGUUCAAAUAGAAGCAACCUCCUAGUGGUAGGAUGAAAUUGAGUGUCGUCGGAUUUAUUUACGUGCGGCAACAUAGUGGGAAAGCUGUGCUAUUUGUAAUGAUGCUUCUUUAUAAUAGAGUUAUCUUUCAGGUAUGUCACUGCUAUAUU
RNAcentral lists this long non-coding RNA (901 nucleotides) under Rosa chinensis. RNAcentral's name for it is "sRNA RchiOBHm_Chr6g0308981". The record is from RNAcentral. Lineage: Eukaryota; Viridiplantae; Streptophyta; Magnoliopsida; Rosales; Rosaceae.